Molecule: long non-coding RNA, 1078 nt
Filed under: Brassica napus (rape)
Lineage: Eukaryota; Viridiplantae; Streptophyta; Magnoliopsida; Brassicales; Brassicaceae
Description: long non-coding RNA (BNAP_LNC017247)
Source: RNAcentral
GGAACGAUACAUGAUAGGGUCUCUAAACCCAAAUCUCAACCUCACCUUCCAAAUACUAAACUCUAAAGUUUAAUCACUAAACCCUAAAUGAAUAAACUAACAUUUAGGCUUCAUAUUAUCCGGUUAUACCCUCCACAUAUGCAAGUUGCCGGUACAAAAGAAGAAAGAAAUGACCCAAAGAAAGAAGAAAGACACAUCACUGAUUAAUAAAACUAAACCUAAAUUAAGGAAGCAUAAACCCAAAUAGAAUAUAUAUAAUAUGAUUUACUAAACCCAAACCUCUACUUACUAAAUCUAAACCCUAUGCAUAAACUUAUAAACUCAAAUACAAUCUAUAAAUUAUUUCCCAAUAUUGGACACUUGAAGGCACAUUUUGAAUAUUAAACCCUAAACUGAUAUCACUAAACCCAAACUUUAACCCCACACCUUCCAAAUACUAAACUCUAAACUCUAAUGACUAAAUCCUAAACCCAACUAUAGACCCUAAACCCAAAUAGAAUGAAAUAAAAUAAAUAGUAUAGUACAUAUUGGUGAACAAAAUAGAACACUCUUUAUUAAUCGUCAAAUGAAACGAUACAUUUUCACUAAACCCAAAUUCCAACCCCGCCCUUCUAAAUACUAAACCCUAAAUCUUAAUCACUAAACCCUAAACCCAAGUAUAAACCCUAAACUCUAAACCUAAAUCUCAAAAUCUAAUACUGACCUCAAACUCACCCAUAUUACUCUAAAUACUAAACCCUAAUCACUAAUUACUAAACCCUAAACUCAAAUAUAAUUAAGGAAGCCUAAACCCAAAUAGUAUACAUAUAAUAUGGUUUACUAUACUCAAACCUCUACUUAGUAAAACUAAACCCUAGGCAGGAACCUAUAAACCCAAAUACAAUCUAUAAAUUUUUUUCCAAUAUUGGACACUUGAAGGCACAUUUUGAAUAUUAAACCCUAAACUGAUAUCACUAAACCCAAACUUUAACCCCACACCUUCCAAAUACUAAACUCUAAACUCUAAUGACUAAAUCCUAAACCCAACUAUAGACCCUAAACCCAAAUAGAAUGAAAUAAAAUAAAUAGUAUAGUACAU